This 431-nucleotide ribosomal RNA is filed under the name uncultured bacterium. RNAcentral's name for it is "partial 16S ribosomal RNA". It matches the Rfam family "Bacterial small subunit ribosomal RNA", at positions 29 to 507 of the family's 1533-position model. The record is from RNAcentral.
AACGAACGCUGGCGGCAGGCCUAACACAUGCAAGUCGAACGACCCGUUCGGGGUGUGGCGCACGGGUGAGUAACGCGUGUGGAAAUAUGCUUUUCUACGCGGUAGCUCUGGGGGACAGGUAUUCUUAUACUGUACGCGCUCCGGGGGAAAGAUUUAUCGGGUCAGGAUGGGCCCGCGCUGGUUAUGCACUUGGGUGGGGUAAUGGCCUACCAAGGCGACGAUCCGUAGCUGGUCUGAGAGGAUGAUCAGCCACAUUGGGACUGAGACACGGCCCAAACUCCUACGGGAGGCAGCAGUGGGGAAUAUUGCGCAAUGGGCGCAAGCCUGAUCCAGCCAUGCCGCGUGAAUGAUGAAGGCCUUAGGAUUGUAAAGCUCUUUCACCGAUGAAGAUAAUGACGGUACUCGGAGAAGAAGCCCCGGCUAACUUCGUG